GUGGGGAAUAUUGCGCAAUGGGGGGAACCCUGACGCAGCAACGCCGCGUGAAGGAUGAAGGUUUUCGGAUCGUAAACUUCUUUGAUGAGGGACGAAGAAAUGACGGUACCUCAAAAACAAGCCACGGCUAACUACGUGCCAGCAGCCGCGGUAAUACGUAGGUGGCGAGCGUUGUCCGGAAUUACUGGGUGUAAAGGGCGUGUAGGCGGGAGUGCAAGUCAGAUGUGAAAUACCGUGGCUUAACCACGGGGCUGCAUCUGAAACUGUGUUUCUUGAGUGUCGGAGAGGAAAGUGGAAUUCCCAGUGUAGCGGUGAAAUGCGUAGAUAUUGGGAGGAACACCAGUGGCGAAGGCGACUUUCUGGACGAUAACUGACGCUGAGGCGCGAAAGCGUGGGGAGCAAACAGG
RNAcentral lists this ribosomal RNA (407 nucleotides) under bacterium. Its description in RNAcentral is "bacterial SSU rRNA". It matches the Rfam family "Bacterial small subunit ribosomal RNA", at positions 354 to 776 of the family's 1533-position model. The record is from RNAcentral.